RNAcentral lists this ribosomal RNA (486 nucleotides) under uncultured soil bacterium. RNAcentral describes it as "bacterial SSU rRNA". It matches the Rfam family "Bacterial small subunit ribosomal RNA", at positions 26 to 523 of the family's 1533-position model. The record is from RNAcentral.
AGGACGAACGCUGGCGGCGUGCUUAACACAUGCAAGUCGAACGGACUCCAUUCACUCGCAAGAGUGAUGAAGAGUCAGUGGCGAACGGGUGAGUAACACGUGAGAAACCUAUCCUGGUCUCUGGGAUAACAGCCGGAAACGGCUGCUAAUACCGGAUGCCGUCGGAGCGUCGCAUGGCGCGCUGACGAAAGGGUUACUGGAUCAGGAGGGUCUCGCGGCCUAUCAGCUAGUUGGUGGGGUAACGGCCUACCAAGGCAUCGACGGGUAGCUGGUCUGAGAGGAUGAUCAGCCACACUGGGACUGAGACACGGCCCAGACUCCUACGGGAGGCAGCAGUGGGGAAUCUUGCGCAAUGGGCGAAAGCCUGACGCAGCAACGCCGCGUGCGGAAGAAGGCCCUCGGUUGUAAACCGCUUUCAGAAGGAACGAAACUGACGGUACUUUCAGAAGAAGGUGACGGCCAACUACGUGCCAGCAGCCGCGGUAA